RNAcentral lists this ribosomal RNA (253 nucleotides) under uncultured bacterium. Its description in RNAcentral is "partial 16S ribosomal RNA". It matches the Rfam family "Bacterial small subunit ribosomal RNA", at positions 524 to 776 of the family's 1533-position model. The record is from RNAcentral.
UACGUAGGGGGCUAGCGUUGUCCGGAAUCAUUGGGCGUAAAGAGCGUGUAGGCGGCUCGGUAAGUCCGCUCUGAAAGCCCGGGGCUCAACCCCGGGAGGCGGGCGGAUACUGUCGAGCUAGAGUCCGGAAGAGGCGAGUGGAAUUCCUGGUGUAGCGGUGAAAUGCGCAGAUAUCAGGAGGAACACCGAUAGCGAAGGCAGCUCGCUGGGACGGUACUGACGCUGAGACGCGAAAGCGUGGGGAGCAAACAGG